Molecule: ribosomal RNA, 447 nt
Filed under: uncultured bacterium
Lineage: Bacteria
Description: bacterial SSU rRNA
Rfam family: Bacterial small subunit ribosomal RNA
Source: RNAcentral
UUUCUCCGAUGCUCUAGAUUACGCGAAGACCUUACCAACACUUGACAUGUUCGUCGCGACUCUAAGAGAUUAGAGUUUUCGGUUCGGCCGGACGAAACACAGGUGCUGCAUGGCUGUCGUCAGCUCGUGUCGUGAGAUGUUGGGUUAAGUCCCGCAACGAGCGCAACCCUCACUUUUAGUUGCCAUCAUUAAGUUGGGCACUCUGAAAGAACUGCCAGUGAUAAGCUGGAGGAAGGUGGGGAUGACGUCAAGUCCUCAUGGCCCUUACGUGUUGGGCUACACACGUGCUACAAUGGUAUCUACAACAGGAAGCAAGACUGCGAGGUCAAGCAAAUCCUUAAAAGAUACCUCAGUUCGGAUUGCACUCUGCAACUCGAGUGCAUGAAGCUGGAAUUACUAGUAAUCGUGGAUCAGCGUGCCACGGUGAAUGCGUUCCCGGGUCUUGUA